UGGGGAAUUUUGGACAAUGGGCGAAAGCCUGAUCCAGCAAUGCCGCGUGUGUGAAGAAGGCCUUCGGGUUGUAAAGCACUUUUGUCCGGAAAGAAAUCCUUGGCUCUAAUACAGUCGGGGGAUGACGGUACCGGAAGAAUAAGCACCGGCUAACUACGUGCCAGCAGCCGCGGUAAUACGUAGGGUGCAAGCGUUAAUCGGAAUUACUGGGCGUAAAGCGUGCGCAGGCGGUUUGCUAAGACCGAUGUGAAAUCCCCGGGCUCAACCUGGGAACUGCAUUGGUGACUGGCAGGCUAGAGUAUGGCAGAGGGGGGUAGAAUUCCACGUGUAGCAGUGAAAUGCGUAGAGAUGUGGAGGAAUACCGAUGGCGAAGGCAGCCCCCUGGGCCAAUACUGACGCUCAUGCACGAAAGCGUGGGGAGCAAACAGGAUUAGAUACCCUGGUAGUCCACGCCCUAAAACGAUGUCAACUAGUUGUUGGGGAUUCAUUUCCUUAGUAACGUAGCUAACGCGUGAAGUUGACCGCCUGGGGAGUACGGUCGCAAGAUUAAAACUUAAAGGAAUUGAC
Molecule: ribosomal RNA, 567 nt
Filed under: uncultured bacterium
Lineage: Bacteria
Description: partial 16S ribosomal RNA
Rfam family: Bacterial small subunit ribosomal RNA
Source: RNAcentral